AGGGUUUGAUCAUGGCUCAGAACGUACGCUGGCGGCACGCCUAACACAUGCAAGUCGAACGAAGUAGCAAUACUUAGUGGCAGACGGGUGAGUAACAUGUGGGUAUCUGCCCUUUGGCCUGGAAUAACACGAGGAAACUUGUGCUAAUACUGGAUAAGUCUUUACGGAGAAAGCUUUAUGCACCAUUGGAUGAGCCCGCACUUGAUUAGUUUGUUGGUGGGGUAAUGGCCUACCAAGACUGUGAUCAAUAGCUGAUUUGAGAGGAUGAUCAGCCACAUUGGGACUGAGACACGGCCCAAACUCCUACGGGAGGCAGCAGUGGGGAAUCUUGCACAAUGGAGGAAACUCUGAUGCAGCGAUGCCGCGUGAGUGAAGAAGGCCUUUGGGUUGUAAAGCUCUUUCGUCGGGGAAGAAAAUGACUGUACCCGAAUAAGAAGGUCCGGCUAACUUCGUGCCAGCAGCCGCGGUAAUACGAAGGGACCUAGCGUAGUUCGGAAUUACUGGGCUUAAAGAGUUCGUAGGUGGUUGAAAAAGUUGGUGGUGAAAUCCCAGAGCUUAACUCUGGAACUGCCAUCAAAACUUUUCAGCUAGAGUUUGAUAGAGGAAAGCAGAAUUUCUAGUGUAGAGGUGAAAUUCGUAGAUAUUAGAAAGAAUACCAAUUGCGAAGGCAGCUUUCUGGAUCAUUACUGACACUGAGGAACGAAAGCAUGGGUAGCGAAGAGGAUUAGAUACCCUCGUAGUCCAUGCCGUAAACGAUGUGUGUUAGACGUUGGAAAUUUAUUUUCAGUGUCGCAGCGAAAGCGAUAAACACACCGCCUGGGGAGUACGACCGCAAGGUUAAAACUCAAAUGAAUUGACGGGGACCCGCACAAGUAGUGGAGCAUGUGGUUUAAUUCGAAGAUACGCGCAGAACCUUACCAACACUUGACAUGUUCGUCGCGACUUUAAGAGAUUAAAGUUUUCGGUUCGGCCGGACGAAACACAGGUGCUGCAUGGCUGUCGUCAGCUCGUGUCGUGAGAUGUUGGGUUAAGUCCCGCAACGAGCGCAACCCUCACUUUUAGUUGCCAUCAUUAAGUUGGGCACUCUGAAAGAACUGCCAGUGAUAAGCUGGAGGAAGGUGGGGAUGACGUCAAGUCCUCAUGGCCCUUACGUGUUGGGCUACACACGUGCUACAAUGGUAUCUACAACAGGAAGCGAAACAGCGAUGUUAAGCAAAUCCUUAAAAGAUACCUCAGUUCGGAUUGCACUCUGCAACUCGAGUGCAUGAAGCUGGAAUUACUAGUAAUCGUGGAUCAGCGUGCCGCGGUGAAUGCGUUCCCGGGUCUUGUACACACCGCCCGUCACACCAUGGGAGUUGGUUCUACCUUAAGGCAAGGCAUAAAACCCUUGACCACGGUAUAGUCAGCGACUGGGGUGAAGUCGUAACAAGGUAGCCGUA
RNAcentral lists this ribosomal RNA (1439 nucleotides) under uncultured bacterium. RNAcentral's name for it is "bacterial SSU rRNA". It matches the Rfam family "Bacterial small subunit ribosomal RNA". The record is from RNAcentral.